This 522-nucleotide ribosomal RNA is filed under the name uncultured Glomus. RNAcentral describes it as "SSU rRNA". It matches the Rfam family "Eukaryotic small subunit ribosomal RNA", at positions 569 to 1092 of the family's 1831-position model. The record is from RNAcentral. Lineage: Eukaryota; Fungi; Glomeromycota; Glomeromycetes; Glomerales; Glomeraceae.
AGCAGCCGCGGUAAUUCCAGCUCCAAUAGCGUAUAUUAAAGUUGUUGCAGUUAAAAAGCUCGUAGUUGAAUUUCGGGGUUAGUAGGUUGGUCGUGCCUUUGGUAUGUACUGGUCUCACUGAUUCCUCCUUCUUGAAGAACUGUAAUGUCAUUAAUUUGGUGUUGCAGGGAAACAGGACUGUUACUUUGAAAAAAUUAGAGUGUUUAAAGCAGGCUAACGCCUGAAUACAUUAGCAUGGAAUAAUGAAAUAGGACGUUUGAUCCUAUUUUGUUGGUUUCUAGGAUUGACGUAAUGAUUAAUAGGGAUAGUUGGGGGCAUUAGUAUUCAAUUGUCAGAGGUGAAAUUCUUGGAUUUAUUGAAGACUAACUACUGCGAAAGCAUUUGCCAAGGAUGUUUUCAUUAAUCAAGAACGAAAGUUAGGGGAUCGAAGACGAUCAGAUACCGUCGUAGUCUUAACCAUAAACUAUGCCGACUAGGGAUCGGAUGAUGUUAAUUUUUUAAUGACUCAUUCGGCGCCUUACG